UAGAGAAAUUGCAAUGAUGAUUCAAAACUACCUAUUUUCUGAGAAACUUCAUUGUUUCUUUGAUCAAUAAUUACCAAUGGAUCCUUCCGAGUUUUUCU
This is a non-coding RNA of Spinacia oleracea (spinach), 98 nucleotides long. NCBI's taxonomy places the organism in Eukaryota, Viridiplantae, Streptophyta, Magnoliopsida, Caryophyllales, Amaranthaceae. The record is from Rfam.